AGAAAAAGCAACGAAGCUCGUCUUUCUCUCUCAUUCUUUCGCUUUUUCCACUGUCUCUUCGGCUUAGCAUCAACAAUGGCGUGAGAAUGGGAGGAGUUCCGUAGAGGAAUGCCACACCAUUGCUUCGAUCUCUUGAUCUCCGUCUUGAUCCUUGCUCGAGGUGCCAUUUCUAGACUGCGCUUGAGAUCAGUGAGCUGGCGGCAUUGUUUGUUUGAGCUUUGGUGAUUCAUGGAGAUGGGGAGUGCUUCGGAGGAGGAUGUCUCCGAUCGGCAGAGUGAUCGGUGUGGGAGUUAUAGCCCUAGUGCUGAUGUGAGUGAGUCUGAGUCGUCCGUUGAGUUCCGGCCGGUUUCCGGCGUUGGGACUUCGAGUUCUUUCGCUUCGUCUCCGCUUCUGGCGAAGGCGCGACCCCAGGCCCCGCCGAUGAUCCCGGGGGCUGAUUUGGUCUUCUGGGAGGGAAAGCCGGAGAGAAGGGAGCCCGAUUUCGCCGAAGUGGAGAUGAUGAAGGAGAGAUUCUCAAAGCUUCUUCUUGGCGAGGAUAUGUCCGGCGGCGGUAAGGGCGUCUGCACUGCCCUGGCGAUCUCCAACGCCAUCACAAAUCUCUCCGCUACUGUGUUUGGAGAGUUGUGGAGAUUAGAGCCACUGGCUCCGCAGAGGAAAUCAAUGUGGCAGCGAGAGAUGGAAUGGUUGCUAUGUGUGAGUGAUUACAUUGUGGAGCUCAUUCCUUCUUUGCAAGAGUUCCCAGGAGGAGGGACAUUUGAGGUGAUGGUGUCACGCCCACGCUCAGAUCUCUACAUGAACCUCCCUGCUCUGAAGAAGCUUGACGCCAUGCUUCUUGCAAUGUUGGAUGGGUUCAGGAACACUGAGUUUUGGUAUGUGGAUAGGGGGAUCCUGGUCGCUGAGGCUGAUGAGGACAGUGGUGAAUCAUGCCCGUCUUCGUCAUUUGGGAGGCCGUCUUUUAGGCAGGAGGAGAAGUGGUGGCUCCCGUGUCCGAGGGUACCGACUAAUGGUCUGUCUGAGGAUUCAAGGAAGAGGCUGCAGCAGUGUAGGGAUUGUGCAAAUCAGAUACUGAAGGCAGCUAUGGCGAUUAACAGUGGAGUGCUUGCAGAGAUGGAGAUUCCUGAUGUUUACUUGGAGACUUUACCCAAGAGUGGAAAAGCCUGUUUAGGCGAGAUCACAUACCGCAAUAUGACAGCUGAGCAAUUUUCUCCGGAAUGUAUAAUGGAUUGCUUAGACCUGUCAUCUGAGCACCUUACUCUGGAAAUAGCAAAUAGGAUUGAAGCAGCCAUACACAUAUGGAGACUUAAAGAUCGUAAAAGACACCCAAACCAAUCAAAAACAAAGAAGUCAUCAUGGAGCGGAAAGGUCAAGGGUCUUGUCAGUCCAGUGGAAAGGAAUCAAUUUCUAGCUCAACGUGCUGAAUGCCUCUUGCAGAGCCUAAGGCUUCGGUAUCCUGGUCUCCCGCAGACUGUAUUGGAUAUGAACAAGAUUCAGUACAACAAGGAUGUAGGUCAGUCCAUCCUGGAAAGCUAUUCGAGGGUAAUGGAGAGUCUGGCCUUCAACAUAAUAGCAAGAAUAGAUGAUCUCAUUUACGUGGAUGAUGCAACAAGGAAAACUGCUGCUACAGACUCAGUGUCAUUGUUUAACCCAGGAAGGUUGGGAGGGCUUCCCAUUCAAAAGAGGAUCUCUCCUAGCCCCUUCUCCAUCCAUAACACUCCAUAUGCAUCCCCAUUUGCAACCCCAACAUAUUGUUCAUCAACUCCAGUUAUUCAUAGUCCUGGCAGAACACAGUCAUCUCGAAGCAAAGGUGGCCUUCUUGGACAAAAAGACGGAAAAUUUGGCAAACUUGCUGCUGGUGAUAUAGAGAGAGUUUGGUCAUACACCGGCAACCUCAGUGCAAGAAAAGAUGCCGGAGAUGCCCCAGAAAGGGACUGACUUAAAUUAUAAGAGCACUUGAAAGGAUUAUUAGGAUCCGAACGCCUUCCUUGCAUGAGGAUAGAGCUAGAGGCAGCACUGGCGCCUAGACGGGCUUGUCGACAUGAUCGUUGAGCCUGGUGAUGUAAAUUAUCCAAGGAAAAUUGCAGCUAUUGAUUUGGAGAUAAGUGGACAAUCAAGGGAAGGUUCAGAAGAAUGUGCAUGUCUGGUUCGAAUUAUUUGAUCAUCUCUGUUCAUUUAAUACUUGCAUCAGAAUCUAAUUUUAUGGUUGCCAUCUGUUAGAAUUUCAUCCAGACAUUUUUAUUUUUAUUUUAUU
Molecule: RNA transcript, 2248 nt
Organism: Dioscorea cayenensis subsp. rotundata (Guinea yam)
Lineage: Eukaryota; Viridiplantae; Streptophyta; Magnoliopsida; Dioscoreales; Dioscoreaceae
Gene name: rop guanine nucleotide exchange factor 1-like
Exons: 6
Source: RefSeq, a predicted model, not a curated record